AACGAACGCUGGCGGCAGGCUUAACACAUGCAAGUCGAGCGCCCCGCAAGGGGAGCGGCAGACGGGUGAGUAACGCGUGGGAAACUACCCUUUGGUACGGAAUAACACAGAGAAAUUUGUGUUAAUACCGUAUGUGCCCUUCGGGGAAAGGAUUAUCGCCAUAGGAUGUGCCCGCGUAGGAUUAGCUAGUUGGUGUGGUAAUGGCGCACCAAGGUGACGAUCCUUAGCUGGUCUGAGAGGAUGAUCAGCCACACUGGGACUGAGACACGGCCCAGACUCCUACGGGAGGCAGCAGUGGGGAAUAUUGGACAAUGGGCGCAAGCCUGAUCCAGCCAUGCCGCGUGAGUGAUGAAGGCCUUAGGGUUGUAAAGACUCUUUCUACCCACGACGAUAAUGACGGUAGUGGGAGAAGAAGUUUACGGUCUAACUUCGUG
RNAcentral lists this ribosomal RNA (434 nucleotides) under uncultured bacterium. Its description in RNAcentral is "bacterial SSU rRNA". It matches the Rfam family "Bacterial small subunit ribosomal RNA", at positions 29 to 507 of the family's 1533-position model. The record is from RNAcentral.